UCCAUCAUGCUAUCAUUUAUUCAGGGACUUUUUAUUUGCUAAUACCUAUCUGUGCAUACAACUAAAUUCCUCAUAAUUAUUUCUCAAAUGGCUGCAAUUUCUUGAUCUGCUAACUAUAUGUAAAAUGUGCCAAAUACAGAAAUGACCAUGUCCAAAGGCUGAGGGACAAUGUGGAGGAACUGCUGGAGGCAUCCCAAGGGCUGGAUGAAGUGGCUAAGAAAAUAACUGACUCGGUGACCGUCAGCCGUGGUUCGUCACCAGUUUGGCCUGAAUUCAAACAGGCAUUCAUCUGUUUGAUUUGCAGAGCUGAUCACGAUCAGCUGGAGAACGAUCCCCGUGCCGGGCACGUGGGUGGCGCCGGUACACGCCCUCCAACACACUCCUCCACCGUCAGACCAAGCCACCGGCCGCUCGGGUUCCAUCCCAGGCAGGCGUCCCUGCGGGACAGGGCAUCUGCGUUGGCAUGCUCCUUCCCCGGUCUGUGGGCCACCUGGAACCGAAAGUCCUGGAGCGCCAGGAACCACCUCGUCACCCGGGCGUUGGUGUCUUUGGCGCCCGCCAUCCAUUUCAGUGGCGCAUGGUCGGUGACCAGGGUGAACUCUCGACCUAGGAGGUAAUAGCGCUGUUUAUCAAGAGACCACUUGAUUGCCAGGGCUUCUUUCUCUACCGUGGAAUAGUUCCUCUCGU
This 687-nucleotide long non-coding RNA is filed under the name Gadus morhua (Atlantic cod). RNAcentral describes it as "lncRNA (ENSGMOG00000031667.1)". The record is from RNAcentral. Lineage: Eukaryota; Metazoa; Chordata; Actinopteri; Gadiformes; Gadidae.